Molecule: long non-coding RNA, 399 nt
Filed under: Fukomys damarensis (Damara mole-rat)
Lineage: Eukaryota; Metazoa; Chordata; Mammalia; Rodentia; Bathyergidae
Description: lncRNA (ENSFDAG00000027541.1)
Source: RNAcentral
GGAGCCAGACGCCGAGGGGGCGGGGGCGUUCGCACAGGCAGCCGGCAGGCGCGUACUUAUUGGAGUCCGCGUCGCCGGAACUCCCGCCCUCCCGUCGUCAAAGGCCGGAGAUGCCGUCACUCACGUCCACGUGCGGGGACAGAGAAGCGCGGGGACCAAUGGAAAGAGAGGAUUCAUUUUGAGUGAGAUGUGGUGGCACACAGGUGUACUCCCACCACUGGAGAGGCUGAGGCAGGAGGACCGCCAUGAGUUUGAGGCCAGCCUGGAUACACAGUUCAAGACCAAGCUGAACUGCGUAGUGAGAGCCUGCCUCAAAAAACAACACCACACAAAACAAGGAUUUGUUUUAAGCAAAUAAAGAAAAAGAACUAAGAAAGGCUGAAUGAUGGUCACUUGUCU